GCGGGUGUAGCUCAGCUGGCUAGAGCAUCAGCCUUCCAAGCUGAGGGUCGUGGGUUCGAAUCCCAUCACCCGCUCCA
RNAcentral lists this transfer RNA (77 nucleotides) under Thermotomaculum hydrothermale. RNAcentral describes it as "tRNA-Gly". It matches the Rfam family "tRNA". Rfam says of the family: Transfer RNA (tRNA) molecules are approximately 80 nucleotides in length. Lineage: Bacteria; Pseudomonadati; Acidobacteriota; Holophagae; Thermotomaculales; Thermotomaculaceae. The record is from RNAcentral.